UACGUAGGGCGCAAGCGUUGUCCGGAAUUAUUGGGCGUAAAGAGCUCGUAGGCGGUCUGGUACGUCCGCUGUGAAAACCCAGGGCUUAACCCUGGGCUUGCAGUGGAUACGGGUAGACUAGAGGCAGGUAGGGGAGAAUGGAAUUCCCGGUGUAGCGGUGAAAUGCGCAGAUAUCGGGAGGAACACCGGUGGCGAAGGCGGUUCUCUGGGCCUGACCUGACGCUGAGGAGCGAGAGCGUGGGGAGCGAACAGG
RNAcentral lists this ribosomal RNA (253 nucleotides) under uncultured bacterium. RNAcentral's name for it is "partial 16S ribosomal RNA". It matches the Rfam family "Bacterial small subunit ribosomal RNA", at positions 524 to 776 of the family's 1533-position model. The record is from RNAcentral.